RNAcentral lists this ribosomal RNA (301 nucleotides) under uncultured bacterium. RNAcentral's name for it is "partial 16S ribosomal RNA". It matches the Rfam family "Bacterial small subunit ribosomal RNA", at positions 509 to 809 of the family's 1533-position model. The record is from RNAcentral.
CAGUAGCCGCGGGAAUACGUAGGUGGCAAGCGUUGUCCGGAAUUAUUGGGCGUAAAGGGCUCGCAGGCGGUUUCUUAAGUCUGAUGUGAAGGCCCCCGGCUCAACCGGGGAGGGUCAUUGGAAACUGGGAAACUUGAGUGCAGAAGAGGAGAGUGGAAUUCCACGUGUAGCGGUGAAAUGCGUAGAGAUGUGGAGGAACACCAGUGGCGAAGGCGACUCUCUGGUCUGUAACUGACGCUGAGGAGCGAAAGCGUGGGGAGCGAACAGGAUUAGAUACCCCUGUAGUCCCUGUCUCUUAUCA